UACGUAGGUGGCAAGCGUUGUCCGGAUUUACUGGGCGUAAAGAGCGCGCAGGCGGUCGGUCAAGUCGCGUGUGGAAGCCCCCGGCUCAACUGGGGAGGGUCACGCGAUACUGAUCGACUCGAAGGCAGGAGAGGGUAGUGGAAUUCCCGGUGUAGUGGUGAAAUGCGUAGAUAUCGGGAGGAACACCAGUGGCGAAGGCGGCACUCUGGGCCGGAACUGACGCUGAGGAGCGAAAGCGUGGGGAGCAAACAGG
RNAcentral lists this ribosomal RNA (253 nucleotides) under uncultured bacterium. RNAcentral's name for it is "partial 16S ribosomal RNA". It matches the Rfam family "Bacterial small subunit ribosomal RNA", at positions 524 to 776 of the family's 1533-position model. The record is from RNAcentral.